RNAcentral lists this ribosomal RNA (480 nucleotides) under uncultured bacterium. Its description in RNAcentral is "partial 16S ribosomal RNA". It matches the Rfam family "Bacterial small subunit ribosomal RNA", at positions 28 to 523 of the family's 1533-position model. The record is from RNAcentral.
GACGAACGCUGGCGGCGUGCUUAACACAUGCAAGUCGAGCGAUGAAGUUUCUUCGGAAUGGAUUAGCGGCGAACGGGUGAGGAACACGUGAAGAAUCUGCCCUCCACUUUGGGAUAACACAGGGAAACCUGUGCUAAUACCGAAUAUUGAACCAUAAGUGGCAUCACUGAGUUUUGAAAGAAUUUCGGUGGAGGAUGACUUCGCGGCCUAUCAGCUAGUUGGUGAGGUAAUGGCUCACCAAGGCAACGACGGGUAGCCGGCCGGAGAGGGCGACCGGCCACACUGGGACUGAGACACGGCCCAGACUCCUACGGGAGGCAGCAGUGGGGAAUAUUGGGCAAUGGAGGAAACUCUGACCCAGCGACGCCGCGUGCGGGAUGAAGGCCUUCGGGUUAUAAACCGCUUUCAGUAGGGAAGAAGCGAAAGUGACGGUACCUACAAAAGAAGCACCGGCUAACUAUGUGCCAGCCGCCGCCGUAA